GCACCAUCUGGUCCCCUGGGAGGUCAGUGCAGGGUUGCUCCAUUUUGACAUGAGUAAAUUCUAGAUUAGGUAUUUGGCAGCUAACUCAUCUGGAUAUAAGGAAACAGAAGUGCCAGACACGUAGAUAAUAUUUGAAGAACAGGAGCAUUCUUGGAACAUGCUGAAUAGAGGACAAGGAGAUGAGUAAAGAACUAUGAACAAAUCCAUUAAGUAUUCAAGAUUUAAGCAUUUAGAUAGUAAAUAGAGCAAACAGGGUGACAGAUAUCAGCCACUUGGUGUGUCUAGAGCAGUACUAAUUGACAGCUUGAGCUUGGUCCAGAAUGAUGAGAAAGCUCUUAUUCUUCCAUCAAGAAAGCUUUGUUUCAUUUCUCUUUUCACCUGGGUCACUGGCCUGAGGCACAAGGAAGAGAUCGAGAAAAGUCAACCACUCCUUGCUUGAUGAUGCAAAUUGCAUCAAGACCCUUUGCCUUCAAAAAUUCACAUGCUGAAGAUGGCAUUAGCUUCCGAACUAAUAUUUCUGACGCUUCCUCUGAGAUAGUUUUUGAGACCAAAGAAAUAUUAUAGGCUGACAACUGAGAUUUUGGCUGAAACAUUGAUGGCUAAUAUGAAGUCUAUUGUACCUGUCCUUACGUGAUGCCAACUAUUUCCCUUCACAUGGAAAGUAGAAGUAAUAUGGCAGGGUAGAAAGAAACUCAGAUAAGGAGUCAGAAGAUAGAGGCUUCCAGAUUAGAGCCACUGGCUAUUAACUGCUCAAAUUUGGGCUACUCCCCUAACGACUGAGAAACUAAAAGUACUUGAAUACUGAGAAUGGUAGAUGGCAUGGCUUGGAUCUCUGUCCCUGCCCAAAUCUCAUGUCAAACUGUAAUCUCCAAUAUUGGAGGUAGGGCCUGGUGGGAGGUCAUUGGAUCAUGGAGGCAGAUUUCUCAUUAAUGGUUUAACAGCAUCCCCUUGGCACUGCCCUUGUGCUCGUGAAUGAGUUCUCAUGACAUCUGGUCUUUUAAAAGCGUGUAACACCUCCCCACUCCUUGCUCCUGCUCCUGCCAUGUGAGAUGACUCGCUCACAAUGAUUGGAAGCUUCCUGCGGCCUCCCUAGAAGCAGAAGCCAUUACGCUUCCUUUGCAGCCUGCAGAUCCAUGAGCCAACUAAACCUUUUUCUUGAUAAAUUACUCAGUUUCAGGUAUUUCUUUACAGCAGAGUGAGAAUGCACUAAUAAUACAACAGAGUUGCUGUAAAAAAUGAAAUAAAACCAUAAAUGUGAAAGUGCCCUGAAAACUCUUAAUUCAUA
Molecule: long non-coding RNA, 1285 nt
Filed under: Macaca mulatta (Rhesus monkey)
Lineage: Eukaryota; Metazoa; Chordata; Mammalia; Primates; Cercopithecidae
Description: lncRNA (ENSMMUG00000052085.1)
Source: RNAcentral